AAGGUGCUAAAGCUGUUCAAGACUUCACCACAUGAGGUUCGACUGACUCUCUGUCGGCCUGCACCAGGGAUCCUUCCUUCCAUUGAUCAGUUUACUGGGACAUGAGUGAUGUUGCAGUGUUACACAGCAACACUGUGCUCUCUGAUCAGUCAGGAAGUGGUGAUGGAGACUGAGGACAGAAUGAACACUACGGGUGUUCUGAUCAAUGCAUUAAGCUGAUUUUAUCGAUGACCUACAAAGCUGCAGAAAGGAAAUCCAGAAGAGUCAUUUUGUUGACACCAACAGAAGAAGCCGUAAAAUAAUCAUUGGUAUACAUUUUGUUGAGAAUAUGUUGCAUCUUGAAAUCACUAAGAAAAUGGUGAACUGUACGUUUUCUGUGUGUUGGAAACUUCUGCUUUUGACCCCCCCCCCCCCCCCCAAGUUAAUUCAAGUUCACUGUUCAGAAAUACAAUGAAUACAAACCCUCAUUUUCCCACAAAUACAAAAGCUAUUAAACUGAGUUUGACCUAAUAUGGAUGAUCCACCCCCAAACACUCAUUUAGUAUCCUGACAAACCGGGUAGUAUGUGCACACUCACACACACACACACCUCCCUGGGUGAGGAGCCAGUAAUGGCCCCUCGUAAAUAAGGGUUCCUGUAUUUCAGUGAAACCCAGUAGUGCAUCUGGAUCCCAUCAGAGCUCGUGUUCCCUUUGCAAAUGAUCCCAAAUGUUUCUAAUUAUGCCAGUGGAGUCGGCACGAGGCUGUGUGAGCGCUUGUGUGUGUUUCCGUGUUCGUGUAAUCGCCCUGACGGACACGCACACCCGUACACUGGCCUCUGUUUAUUCAUGAACAGAGUAACAGAGAUGGACAGCGUGGUCUUGACCUCUACAGCCUUUCACAUAGGACACUGCAUGUGGUGAUGACUGAUGAGUGAAAGAUGGGGUGGAGAUGGUGGUGGCUCGUGGAAUGUGCAAAGAAAUUUAAAAUAUAAAAUCAAACAACUAUAUGUGGAGCAUAUGAAGUGAGAGAAAGCUUUUGUUGAAAUCCAUAGUUGUACAGGACCUUCCUUACAUUUGGAUUCAGGACAUUUACAUAUUGUAAGACAAGCACUCGGUAUGUAAGACCUGCAUCAUGUUAAAUAUAUGUAAAUUGUUUGAAUUUCAUCCAAUUUUGAAUACAAACCAAGUAAAUGUGACUGUUUGCA
This is a long non-coding RNA of Micropterus salmoides (largemouth bass), 1186 nucleotides long. RefSeq lists it as uncharacterized. The transcript has 3 exons. NCBI's taxonomy places the organism in Eukaryota, Metazoa, Chordata, Actinopteri, Centrarchiformes, Centrarchidae. The record is from RefSeq and is a predicted model, not a curated record.